This 468-nucleotide ribosomal RNA is filed under the name uncultured bacterium. Its description in RNAcentral is "partial 16S ribosomal RNA". It matches the Rfam family "Bacterial small subunit ribosomal RNA", at positions 28 to 507 of the family's 1533-position model. The record is from RNAcentral.
GACGAACGCUGGCGGCGUGCUUAACACAUGCAAGUCGAACGGAAAGGCCCUGCUUUUGUGUGGUGCUCGAGUGGCGAACGGGUGAGUAACACGUGAGUAACCUGCCCUUGACUUUGGGAUAACUUCAGGAAACUGGGGCUAAUACCGGAUAGGAGCUCCUGCUGCUUGGUGGGGGUUGGAAAGGUUCGGCGGUUGGGGAUGGACUCGCGGCUUAUCAGCUUGUUGGUGGGGUAGUGGCUUACCAAGGCUUUGACGGGUAGCCGGCCUGAGAGGGUGACCGGCCACAUUGGGACUGAGAUACGGCCCGGACUCCUACGGGAGGCAGGAGUGGGGGAUAUUGCACAAUGGGCGGAAGCCUGAUGCAGCAACGCCGCGUGCGGGAUGACGGCCUUCGGGUUGUAACCCGCUUUAGCCUGUGACGAAGCGUGAGUGACGGUAAUGGGUAAAGAAGCACCGGCUAACUACGUG